AUCAACUUUCGAUGGUAGGAUAGAGGCCUACCAUGGUGGUAACGGGUAACGGGGUGUUAGGGCACGACACCGGAGAGGGAGCCUGAGAAACGGCUACCACAUCCAAGGAUGGCAGCAGGCGCGCAAAUUACCCAAUCCCGACACGGGGAGGUAGUGACAAUAAAUAACAAUACGGGGUUCUUUCGGAUUUCGUAAUUGGAAUGAGUACAAUUUAAAUCUCUUAACGAGGAACAAUUGGAGGGCAAGUCUGGUGCCAGCAGCCGCGGUAAUUCCAGCUCCAAUAGCGUAUAUUAAAGUUGUUGCAGUUAAAAAGCUCGUAGUUGAAUUUCGGGAUCAUCAGGUUGGUCGUGCCUCUGGUAUGUACUGAUUUCGAUGGUCCCUCCUUCUUGAAGAGCCGUAAUGCCAUUAAUUUGGUGUUGCGGGGAAUCAGGACUGUUACUUUGAAAAAAUUAGAGUGUUUAAAGCAGGCAAUCGCUUGAAUACAUUAGCAUGGAAUAAUGAAAUAGGACGUUCGAUCCUAUUUUGUUGGUUUCUAGGAUUGACGUAAUGAUUAAUAGGGAUAGUUGGGGGCAUUAGUAUUCAAUUGUCAGAGGUGAAAUUCUUGGAUUUAUUGAAGACUAACUACUGCGAAAGCAUUUGCCAAGGAUGUUUUCAUUAAUCAAGAACGAAAGUUAGGGGAUCGAAGACGAUCAGAUACCGUCGUAGUCUUAACCAUAAACUAUGCCGACUAGGGAUCGGAUGAUGUUAAUUUUUUAAUGACUCAUUCGGCGCCUUACGGGAAACCAAAGUGUUUGGGUU
Molecule: ribosomal RNA, 798 nt
Filed under: Glomeromycotina sp.
Lineage: Eukaryota; Fungi; Glomeromycota
Description: SSU rRNA
Rfam family: Eukaryotic small subunit ribosomal RNA
Source: RNAcentral